This is a long non-coding RNA of Hemicordylus capensis (graceful crag lizard), 539 nucleotides long. RefSeq lists it as uncharacterized. The transcript is spliced from 4 exons. NCBI's taxonomy places the organism in Eukaryota, Metazoa, Chordata, Lepidosauria, Squamata, Cordylidae. The record is from RefSeq and is a predicted model, not a curated record.
GGGAAUCCCUCUUAGAGGGAGCAGUGCUGAGCUCCAACCCUUAAAUGUGGCAAAAACUUCUGGACUCUGUCUUGGAACUCCGCUCCGUAUAUCUAACCACAGUUCUGCUUCUGCCGGAAGGCUUCAAGUGUGUUCAGAAUGUACUCUUUGGAGGAAAUGGACCCCCUUUUAAAUACUGUGUGAGAGUACAGGCACAUAAUCCAUUAUGGACAUUCUGAAAUCCACAGUUCCUGCGAAUGGAGGAGAAAUGAAGGCAAAUGGAGCGGAAUCCAAGGGAUAUUGGAAAGGCAGAACAAUAAUGGAGUGGAACUAAAGGAAAUCCUUCAUGCAUUUAAUGUCACCAUGAAGAGCUGAGGAUCAAGGUCAGUAAAAAAAGUGCAGAUGAAUCCUUAAUAUGGAGGAAUGGUGGAAGUUGCUGGAUAAGUUUAACCUGGAGAAAAGAAGACUAAGGGAAGAUGUGACAGAUGCCCUCAAAUGUCUAAAUGGCUGCCCCAUAGAAAGAGGAGCAGAUGGGUGUGUGUGUGUGUGUGUGUGUGUGU